AAUCAUUUUGUUUUGCCCCUACUGGGCCGUUUAGUUAGAUGUAAUUAUAAACACAAUGUAGUUAGAGAUGUAUACAGUUGGAAAUACAACAAUUGCAACUAUAUGUGUCAUGUUUGGUUGGAUGUAGUAGAAAGCGCUGCAACUAUAAAUAAUUUGUUUGGUCGCAUGCAGUUGAGAAAUAAUUUUUAAAAGUUUAUAUACAUAUAGUGAGAUUACUUCUAAUGUAAAAAGAAAAAUAUUUUUUAUUUAAAAAAAAUUAAGAAGGUAAAUAUAUUUUUUAUUUUAGAAUUACUCUCUCCGAUUGUUGCAGUUGAAACUGCGGUCUAUUUAGGCGAAGUUUGAAUUGCUGAAGGUGGGCAUCUUAUAAUUUUUACUGCAUCAAUUGGAGUUAAAUACGUCAAAUCAAAUAUUGAAUUUGUAUUUGUAUGCAGUUAUAACUAAAAUACAGUUGUAACUACAUUCAACCAAAUGGCUCCUAAAUAGAGGUUAGUUUAAAAAUAAG
RNAcentral lists this long non-coding RNA (502 nucleotides) under Ananas comosus (pineapple). RNAcentral describes it as "long non-coding RNA (ACOM_LNC043121)". Lineage: Eukaryota; Viridiplantae; Streptophyta; Magnoliopsida; Poales; Bromeliaceae. The record is from RNAcentral.